Molecule: ribosomal RNA, 253 nt
Filed under: uncultured bacterium
Lineage: Bacteria
Description: partial 16S ribosomal RNA
Rfam family: Bacterial small subunit ribosomal RNA
Source: RNAcentral
UACGUAGGGUGCGAGCGUUGUCCGGAAUUACUGGGCGUAAAGGGCUCGUAGGUGGCCAACUAAGUCAGACGUGAAAUCCCUCGGCUUAACCGGGGAACUGCGUCUGAUACUGGAUGGCUUGAGUUCGGGAGAGGGAUGCGGAAUUCCAGGUGUAGCGGUGAAAUGCGUAGAUAUCUGGAGGAACACCGGUGGCGAAGGCGGCAUCCUGGACCGACACUGACGCUGAGGAGCGAAAGCCAGGGGAGCAAACGGG